UCUGUUUACUGGGGAGGCUCAGGCGUGCAUGGCUGGUGAUGGUGGAUCUCGUUGGCUGCGAGGGGUUUGGGGAGGUGGAAAAUCAGGGAGGAUCCCAAGGAAGAAGAUUGGCGGCGGGGUGGAAUAGAGGAUGGGACAGCCGUCCUAAAAUUUAGGAUUUUCUUUGUUUUGGUAAAGGUUGGAACAAAGUGAGACUAGCUUUGGACCCUCCAAUUUUGAUUGGAUGGUCGAUAAAAAAAUAGGAUAGGAG
RNAcentral lists this long non-coding RNA (250 nucleotides) under Hordeum vulgare. RNAcentral describes it as "long non-coding RNA (HVUL_LNC012027)". The record is from RNAcentral. Lineage: Eukaryota; Viridiplantae; Streptophyta; Magnoliopsida; Poales; Poaceae.